GCGCGCAUAGCUCAGUGGUAGAGCGUUCGCUUCACAUGCGAAAGGUCGUAGGUUCGAAACCUACUGCGCGCA
RNAcentral lists this transfer RNA (72 nucleotides) under Candidatus Parcubacteria bacterium. RNAcentral describes it as "tRNA-Val". It matches the Rfam family "tRNA". Rfam says of the family: Transfer RNA (tRNA) molecules are approximately 80 nucleotides in length. Their secondary structure includes four short double-helical elements and three loops (D, anti-codon, and T loops). The record is from RNAcentral. Lineage: Bacteria; Candidatus Parcubacteria.